CCUACGGGAGACAGCAGUGAGGAAUAUUGGUCAAUGGGCGAGAGCCUGAACCAGCCAAGUCGCGUGAAGGAUGACGGCCCUAUGGUUUGUAAACUUCUUUUAUAAGGGAAUAAAGUGAGGAACGUGUUCCUUUUUGUAUGUACCUUAUGAAUAAGCAUCGGCUAACUCCGUGCCAGCAGCCGCGGUAAUACGGAGGAUGCGAGCGUUAUCCGGAUUUAUUGGGUUUAAAGGGUGCGUAGGUGGGUUGUUAAGUCAGCUGUGAAAGUUUGUGGCUCAACCGUAAAAUUGCCGUUGAAACUGGCUGACUUGAGUAUAUUUGAGGUAGGCGGAAUGCGUGGUGUAGCGGUGAAAUGCAUAGAUAUCACGAAGAACUCCGAUUGCGAAGGCAGCCUACUAAACUAUCACUGACACUGAGGCACGAAAGUGUGGGGAUCAAACAGGAUUAGAUACCCUUGUAGUC
RNAcentral lists this ribosomal RNA (460 nucleotides) under uncultured bacterium. Its description in RNAcentral is "partial 16S ribosomal RNA". It matches the Rfam family "Bacterial small subunit ribosomal RNA", at positions 338 to 795 of the family's 1533-position model. The record is from RNAcentral.